CCUACGGGUGGCAGCAGUGAGGAAUAUUGGUCCAUGGGCGCGAGCCUGAACCAGCCAAGUCGCGUGAGGGAUGACGGUCCUACGGAUUGUAAACCUCUUUUGCCGGGGAGCAAGCGUGCGUUCGUGAACGCGCGUCGAGAGUACCCGGAGAAAAAGCAUCGGCUAACUCCGUGCCAGCAGCCGCGGUAAUACGGAGGAUGCGAGCGUUAUCCGGAUGUAUUGGGUUUGAAGGGUGCGUAGGCGGGAUGCCAAGUCAGCGGUAAAAAGGCGGUGCUCAACGUCGUCGAGCCGUUGAAACUGGCGUUCUUGAGUGGGCGAGAAGUAUGCGGAAUGCGUGGUGUAGCGGUGAAAUGCUUAGAUAUGACGAAGAACCCCGAUUGCGAAGGCAGCUUGCUGCAGCGGAACUGACGCUGAUGCUCGAAAGCGCGGGUAUCGAACAGGAUUAGAUACCCCUGUAGUC
RNAcentral lists this ribosomal RNA (460 nucleotides) under uncultured bacterium. Its description in RNAcentral is "partial 16S ribosomal RNA". It matches the Rfam family "Bacterial small subunit ribosomal RNA", at positions 338 to 795 of the family's 1533-position model. The record is from RNAcentral.